RNAcentral lists this ribosomal RNA (468 nucleotides) under uncultured bacterium. RNAcentral describes it as "partial 16S ribosomal RNA". It matches the Rfam family "Bacterial small subunit ribosomal RNA", at positions 31 to 507 of the family's 1533-position model. The record is from RNAcentral.
GAGGAAGGCUGGCGGCGUGCUUAACACAUGCAAGUCGAACGGAAAGGCCCUGCUUUUGUGGGGUGCUCGAGUGGCGAACGGGUGAGUAACACGUGAGUAACCUGCCCUUGACUUUGGGAUAACUUCAGGAAACUGGGGCUAAUACCGGAUAGGAGCUCCUGCUGCAUGGUGGGGGUUGGAAAGUUUCGGCGGUUGGGGAUGGACUCGCGGCUUAUCAGCUUGUUGGUGGGGUAGUGGCUUACCAAGGCUUUGACGGGUAGCCGGCCUGAGAGGGUGACCGGCCACAUUGGGACUGAGAUACGGCCCAGACUCCUACGGGAGGCAGCAGUGGGGAAUAUUGCACAAUGGGCGGAAGCCUGAUGCAGCAACGCCGCGUGCGGGAUGACGGCCUUCGGGUUGUAAACCGCUUUCGCCUGUGACGAAGCGUGAGUGACGGUAAUGGGUAAAGAAGCACCGGCUAACUACGUG